UACGAAGGGGGCUAGCGUUGCUCGGAAUCACUGGGCGUAAAGCGCACGUAGGCGGAUCGUUAAGUCGGAGGUGAAAUCCUGGAGCUCAACUCCAGAACUGCCUUCGAUACUGCCGGGCUAGAGUCCGGAAGAGGCGAGUGGAACUCCUGGUGUAGCGGUGGAAUGCGCAGAUAUCAGGAAGAACACCAACGGCGAAGGCAGCUCGCUGGGACGGUACUGACGCUGAGACGCGAAAGCGUGGGGAGCGAACAGG
Molecule: ribosomal RNA, 253 nt
Filed under: uncultured bacterium
Lineage: Bacteria
Description: partial 16S ribosomal RNA
Rfam family: Bacterial small subunit ribosomal RNA
Source: RNAcentral